GAUGAAGAACGUAGCGAAAUGCGAUACGUAAUGUGAAUUGCAGAAUUCAGUGAAUCAUCGAGUCUUUGAACGCACAUUGCGCCCCCUGGUAUUCCGGGGGGCAUGCCUGUCCGAGCGUCAUUGCUGCCCUCAAGCACGGCUUGUGUGUUGGGCCUCCGUCCUCCUCCCGGGGGACGGGCCCGAAAGGCAGCGGCGGCACCGCGUCCGGUCCUCGAGCGUAUGGGGCUUCGUCACCCGCUCUUGUAGGCCCGGCCGGCGCUUGCCGACACAUCAAUCUUUUUUCCAGGUUGACCUCGGAUCAGGUAGCGAUACCCGCUGAACUUAAGCAUAUCAAUAAGCGGAGGA
Molecule: unclassified non-coding RNA, 345 nt
Filed under: soil metagenome
Description: partial contains 5.8S ribosomal RNA, internal transcribed spacer 2, and large subunit ribosomal RNA
Rfam family: 5.8S ribosomal RNA (bases 1-120)
Source: RNAcentral